RNAcentral lists this ribosomal RNA (403 nucleotides) under uncultured bacterium. RNAcentral describes it as "bacterial SSU rRNA". It matches the Rfam family "Bacterial small subunit ribosomal RNA", at positions 975 to 1375 of the family's 1533-position model. The record is from RNAcentral.
CAGGCCUUGACAUCCCGGUCGCGGACUCUUGAAAGAGAGUCUUUCAGUUCGGCUGGACCGGUGACAGGUGCUGCAUGGCUGUCGUCAGCUCGUGUCGUGAGAUGUUGGGUUAAGUCCCGCAACGAGCGCAACCCUCGCCCUUAGUUGCCAUCAUUUAGUUGGGCACUCUAAGGGGACUGCCGGUGAUAAGCCGCGAGGAAGGUGGGGAUGACGUCAAGUCCUCAUGGCCCUUACGGCCUGGGCCACACACGUGCUACAAUGGCGGUGACAGUGAGCAGCUAACUCGCGAGAGUAUGCUAAUCUCAAAAAGCCGUCUCAGUUCGGAUUGCACUCUGCAACUCGGGUGCAUGAAGUUGGAAUCGCUAGUAAUCGUGGAUCAGCACGCCACGGUGAAUACGUUCCC